This 117-nucleotide ribosomal RNA is filed under the name Anncaliia algerae PRA109. Lineage: Eukaryota; Fungi; Microsporidia; Tubulinosematidae. The record is from RNAcentral.
GCGGUCAUAUCCACGGAAAAGCACCGAAACCCGUUAGAUCUUCGAAGUUAAACCUGUGUGAGCUCAGUAAGUACUAUGGUGGGCGACCACAUGGGAACAUUGAGUACUGCAAUUUUU